UAUUGGUCAAUGGGCGGGAGCCUGAACCAGCCAAGUCGCGUGAGGGAUUAAAGCCCUACGGGUCGUAAACCUCGUUUGCCGGGGAGCAGGGCGGCGGACGUGUCCGCCUUCUGAGCGUACCCGGAGCAAAAGCAUCGGCUAACUCCGUGCCAGCAGCCGCGGUAAUACGGAGGAUGCGAGCGUUAUCCGGAUUUAUUGGGUUUAAAGGGUGCGUAGGCGGGCUUUUAAGUCAGCGGUAAAAAUUCGGGGCUCAACCCCGUCCGGCCGUUGAAACUGGGGGCCUUGAGUGGGCGAGAAGAAGGCGGAAUGCGUGGUGUAGCGGGGAAAUGCAUAGAUAUCACGCAGAACCCCGAUUGCGAAGGCAGCCUUCCGGCGCCCUACUGACGCUGAGGCACGAAAGUGCGGGGAUCGAACAGG
Molecule: ribosomal RNA, 417 nt
Filed under: uncultured bacterium
Lineage: Bacteria
Description: bacterial SSU rRNA
Rfam family: Bacterial small subunit ribosomal RNA
Source: RNAcentral